Sus scrofa (pig) is the source of this 2906-nucleotide non-coding RNA. The record is from RefSeq and is a predicted model, not a curated record. NCBI's taxonomy places the organism in Eukaryota, Metazoa, Chordata, Mammalia, Artiodactyla, Suidae.
AGGUGUUGCAGGGGACAUAUUCUGUGAUUUGGUUUCAGCCUUCCAGUAAACUUACACUUCUGGAUGGUGAACUUCACAAGUGUUUCUUAGUUUUUUUACUUCUUCCUCGUUAGUUAAGUGAAGAUGGAAAAUGUGAGUUGGAGUUUUAGUGUUUGCUUCUCCUAAGUAGAAGGCUACAGCUGACUGGAGUUGAGUGUUUUCCUUCCCCCCAAUCAUUUAGGCUCUGUUAAUAUUCCAGAAGGUUAGUAUCUCUUUAAUGAGUUUCUCCUGAAGGCAUUCUUGUUAAGAACAGAGUGUUCUGGUGUAUUUCAGGGUUGUAUUAUGUCCCUGCCUCUUGCCAGGUGCAUUAGGAGGAUUUUUCUCUGAUCUUCAUUGUGAGGAGCUGGUUGAGCUCCUGGAAGUAGCUCACAAAAUUGUGGGGACCCUCAGUGACUGAGUUCUCCUGAACUAUUUAACUCUCAGAGUUGUACAUGCUUGGCCUCCAGCAAUUCGUCAACUACAAUUAAGAUUUUCUGACCUGGCACUGGCUCCUGUGGCAGUUUCCGCUCAUGAUUCUCUGCUCCUGAGAUCGAUGAUGCCUGAGGAAAGAGAACCUACAAAUAACCAAAUAACUGCUCUGUAGGAGCUUCAAUUCCACCACAAAUUUUCAUAGCUAACUUGACUGCUAGAUGACUCCCAUGCCAUACCUGCUGGAGGUAGCCUGAUCAAAAAAAUUUGUAGUUGCAGGAUGAUUCUUCUUUUCAUCUCCGUAACACCUAUACCUUUCCUCUGUCUAUCCACUAAAAGGAGCGUUGCUUACACAUGUAUUCCAUGCAGAUCCAAAAUGCCUUACCAAAUGGUAAAGCAUAUACAGAUGAAUUAGAUGCAGGAUUUAAUACGCAAAAAGAGUGGAUCUUGGUGUUCUGAGGGGCCAUCCUUGCUCCCUGCCUACUAGUGUGCACUGCACAUCUUGGCCCCCAGUCUGAGACCCAUAUAGAAAAGGACGACAUCGAGCAAAGGGCAUAGGUGGAAACUCCCUCUCCCUACAACACAUCAUCAGAUGCUCUGUGCUCCAAAGUUUAAAAAGAGCAAGAAGACUUGCUUCAGAUGGCUGGUGCCACUGUUACCGUCCCCAUCUCAGAUUCCGAGAGGAGUACAGGAAGGAGGACAGCAGGUGGCUUUCCAUGUGUGAAAAGAAGUCUUUUAUUGUGAAGCUCUCUCCUGUUAUCCCCUGACUCUUCAAGAUCUGGUAUCCAGGUCCAACACAAAUGAUGCUUCUUUGGGAGUUCCCAUUGUGGUGCAGGGGAAAGGAAUCCUACUAGUCUUCAUGAGAAUAAUGCCAUGUGACUCCAAAAAGAAGCCUCAAACCCAUGUGCCUUCACCUUGGAUUUCUCUUUGCCUUAAGCUUCAGAUUUUAUUAAUUAUCUACUGUUUCCCAGAGAACAGACUGCAUACUGGUGAUAUAGUGAGUUUUCUGGGCUGGGGUGAACGAGGCGGGCCUUUAUAUCUCCGCGUGGACGUAGGCUGCCCGGAGAAGAGCAAGCUUGAGAGGUCUCUUCUUCAGCUGGGAGCAAUCCCUGAAACUCACUGCCAGCUGAUAACCUUCCACGAGCAUCAGUUUUGGACGCCAGAUCCUUCAGUCCUAAAGAGCAAGCUGGAUGGUGCGUUUUGAUAUCCAGAAUAGAAGACUCUACAGAGGUUUGAAGUGUAUGAAGACAUUGUGAGAAGGUAGCCACUGGCAAGCCAGGAAAAGAGUUCUCAUCAGAACCCAACCAUGCUGACACCAAGAUCUCUGACUUCCAGCCUUCAGAACUAUCCCUUGGGAAGAAGGCUACUCUGCUUGUGAUCCCACUCCAUGAGUCAUUUUCCCUUGAAUGAAGGACAUCAAACUCAUAACUAAGUUUUUCACAAGACUUGACCCAAAGAAAGCUGCUAAAGUGUUUGAAGCUUCCGGGAACAGCCUCUAGACCCAGGGGAAGGUACCCCAGACUCCUUUUGGUUCACCACCUCUUGAGCCACUCUCCAGGGAUCUUGGAUCUGGGGCUAAAAAAAAGUUAAUGAAGACAGGCUUGCACUUACAUUUCAGCUUUAAACCUUUGAGAUUUGUUCUUCUGAGUCUCAAGAGCAGUUUGAAGACAGAAAGUGAGCUGUCACACUCCACAGUACCAGCACCCUUCAUAUAUAUUGGAAACCGUCUUGAGUGAUUAAUUUCAAGCACCUUGGAUCAGCGAGAUGCCACAAGGCAAUAUGAAUUAGCAACUGUGGCCUUAUUUAACACCACCUUCAACCAAGGACUUAACUGCCUCUUAAACAAGACCCCUGCCAAAUCUUCAUGUGGAUUCUACACAAAAGGACCUAAACUGAAGGGAGAAAAUAUCAGCUCUUGAAAAUUAUACCCAGAGGUGAAACAUGGUACUUCCCUCAUAUUCCAUACAUAAAGCAAUUCAUAUGGUCAAGCGUUUUGUUCUUUCAGAUAGAAUCUAAAAUUCUCUCCUGGGUGUGUGGGGGGGAAUAAGUAAAAAUGAUAAUACUGUCUACUGUGAAAUUAUAAAAUAGAAUUUUCAGGUAACAAACUAAACAAAAUGCAGCUUUUUUCGUGCAGUUUUUAGAAUGUGCUUUAAUAGUAUUUCUUCCUAAUUUUGUUGGUUAAAUACUUCUUUUUGAUUUUAUAAGAGUUCAGAAAAAAAUAAAACAAAUCUCAUGCCAUUUGGGACACACAGAAUACACACAUUCCAUAUGGCACCACCAUUACUGUUUGAUGUUUAUUGUAUUUGGGGCAUUACUGAUUGACAUGAGGCAUACUGUAUGCACAUGAAAAUUGUGAGUUUAUUUGCAGAAGAUAUAAGAUGUUUCCCAUUGAUGUCCUAUUAUUAUUUCUCCAAAUCAGUAAGGAUGAGUUUUAAUCUUACUUUAUAAAUAAACUGAAA